Triticum aestivum (bread wheat) is the source of this 1155-nucleotide long non-coding RNA. RefSeq lists it as uncharacterized. NCBI's taxonomy places the organism in Eukaryota, Viridiplantae, Streptophyta, Magnoliopsida, Poales, Poaceae. The transcript is spliced from 3 exons. The record is from RefSeq and is a predicted model, not a curated record.
AAAGAUACUGCUGCCUCUCCCUGGUACAUCCAUCUCCACUUCCUCGGGGCGCUGCUCGCCGGCUCAUGACCUGCUAUGGAAUUGACGUUUGCGCACACAAGUUCCCCUGUCUGGCUCUGCCGGCUCCCGUAGUUGAGCAGAGCCAGGAGAUCGAGAGAGGAAAUACUCACUUGAUUUUGCAAAUUAUGUUGGGCAUGGAGAUUGAUCUGUUAUUUUUGGUUGUCCCUAGAUUCAAGGAUGACAGCGCCCAAACCUUUCCCUGAUGUUUGGGCAAAGGCGUGUAUGUCUGAUGUGCAGCAAAGCGACGAAACAAUGGUCGAUGGUUAUGUAUCUCGCGGGACUCGACGGUUACAGUUUCGGGAGCAGCACUGUUGCUUGCUAGCAUAUUUUUUUUCUUACAUAUAUGAACUGAUGAUGCUUUAUUUGGUGUUGUUUCCCAUGGCAGUACAUUAUGGCUUUGUUGACGAUGAUUUCUGCUAAUGUGCACACAGCUGAGGAAUAGACCCGGCAAGGAAGAGAGCUACACCAAUGUAGUCGGUGGAAUUAACAAGCAAAGUAAAUCCUGAAGCUCCUGGUUGUAACAAGAGGAAGUCGAUUUGUCAGUGGAAACAUAGCUGCAAGGAAGCGAUAUCUCAACUUUGACGUUACUUAAGCUUUUGGAUUUCAGAUUUAGUUGCCAUCACCAAACUGGUAUGCAAUUGAGUUGCACUUGAGCGCACAAGCUGAUUUCUAAAUAUCGCACAGUACUAUAGUUGUGCUCCACUAAAUAGCUUAUAUUUGAGCAGUCUUGCGGAAUAGUUACAGUGAAGAAAAAGCUUGCAAGAUUGAUUUGAUUUGCUGGUUUUUUGAGUGGCGCUACCCCUAUUAGGCUAAGUAGAAGCACUAUACGACGACUAAAGUACACCAGAUUACCUUCUCUGGUUUUGUAAUUUGUUGUUUGUUAUUUUUGGAAUUAUUUUGGGUACAAGGAAAGAAGUGCCAGAGAACUGCCAUUGUUUCGUGGUAAAAUUUACUAAUGUUGGUAUUUCUUUUCAAGAUUAUAUUAUUGUUUGCCCAUUUGGUCCUUGGAUGUUCUACUGAUUUUUUUUUCUAUUCCUUGUGGAUAAUUUGCUUCGGAUCAUCAGACUACCUAGGGAAACAUGCACAUUCUUUAUC